AAGGGCAAAUUUUGUCAAUGCAAGGAAACUCAUCAUUCAAAGUUGCGGCUUUGCCCAAUAUUGUAAACGUACCGUCACACAGAUUUCGAUCUACUUCGACAACUAACGCUUGGAAAUCAUCUAUAAUUAUCUUACACGUCACGAGUUGGAGAAAGGAAGGAAAGAGAAAAGUGCCUGGGCUCUGUUUCAAUGAAAAUUAUUUAUUUAUCCUUAUCGUUAUUUUGAUUAUCAGACUCAUUACAACCCGUGUAUAUUUUUAUAUGUUUGUAUACAUAUAUUGUAUUCGUACACACUUAACUCUUACAUCUGCACAUCAUUUUUAUAUUUAACAAUAACUGUCUAGUAUUUACAAUUGUAUUGGUAGAAGAGAGGGUGAUUUUUUUUUUUUUUUUCAAUAUAAAAAAAAAACUGUACGUAAAACCCGUAUUUGAAAUUCCCGCCAAUUCGGACUUUGCUAUGGGAAUCUCACA
Molecule: long non-coding RNA, 470 nt
Filed under: Neodiprion lecontei (redheaded pine sawfly)
Lineage: Eukaryota; Metazoa; Arthropoda; Insecta; Hymenoptera; Diprionidae
Description: uncharacterized LOC124292851
Source: RNAcentral